Molecule: ribosomal RNA, 471 nt
Filed under: uncultured bacterium
Lineage: Bacteria
Description: partial 16S ribosomal RNA
Rfam family: Bacterial small subunit ribosomal RNA
Source: RNAcentral
UAACCGCUGGCGGCGCACAUACGACAUGCAAGUUGACCGGCCUUAAUCGAAAUAUUUAUAUUUUGAAGCGGUUAGUGGCGGACUGGUGAGUAACGCGUAAGGAACCUGCCUAUUAGAGGGGAAUAACAGUGAGAAAUCAUUGCUAAUACCGCAUAUGCCAUAGAUAUCACAUGAUAACAGUGGGAAAGGAGCAAUCCGCUAAUAGAUGGCCUUGCGUCUGAUUAGAUAGUUGGUGGGGUAACGGCCUACCAAGUCGACGAUCAGUAGCCGGACUGAGAGGUUGAACGGCCACAUUGGGACUGAGAUACGGCCCAGACUCCUACGGGAGGCAGCAGUCGGGAAUAUUGCGCAAUGGAGGAAACUCUGACGCAGUGACGCCGCGUAUAGGAAGAAGGUUUUCGGAUUGUAAACUAUUGUCGUUAGGGAAGAGAAAGGACAGUACCUAAGGAGGAAGCUCCGGCUAACUACGUG